RNAcentral lists this transfer RNA (73 nucleotides) under Mustela putorius furo (domestic ferret). It matches the Rfam family "tRNA". Rfam says of the family: Transfer RNA (tRNA) molecules are approximately 80 nucleotides in length. Their secondary structure includes four short double-helical elements and three loops (D, anti-codon, and T loops). Further hydrogen bonds mediate the characteristic L-shaped molecular structure. tRNAs have two regions of fundamental functional importance: the anti-codon, which is responsible for specific mRNA codon recognition, and the 3' end, to which the tRNAs corresponding amino acid is attached (by aminoacyl-tRNA synthetases). tRNAs cope with the degeneracy of the genetic code in two manners: having more than one tRNA (with a specific anti-codon) for a particular amino acid; and 'wobble' base-pairing, i.e. permitting non-standard base-pairing at the 3rd anti-codon position. Lineage: Eukaryota; Metazoa; Chordata; Mammalia; Carnivora; Mustelidae. The record is from Rfam by way of RNAcentral.
GCCUGGCUGGCUCAUUUGGUGGAGCAUAAGACUCUUGAUCUCAGCGUUGUGAGUUCAAGCCCCACAUUGGGUA